UAUCUUACUUCAAGCCCUGCUUGGUGUUGAGUUGAAUCAAAAGAAGCAACUCCAAAACAAUUGACACUUGUCUUUUGGGUCUCCAACUUUGACAGUUGAUAUCCAAGGGGAAAAUUGUCUGUCUCUCAAA
This 130-nucleotide unclassified non-coding RNA is filed under the name uncultured Ascomycota. Its description in RNAcentral is "sequence contains ITS2". Lineage: Eukaryota; Fungi; Ascomycota. The record is from RNAcentral.